Long non-coding RNA from Oncorhynchus tshawytscha (Chinook salmon), 2268 nucleotides. The record is from Ensembl. Lineage: Eukaryota; Metazoa; Chordata; Actinopteri; Salmoniformes; Salmonidae.
GUCAGUACCUUAUUCAAUGUCCAGGGUACUGGAGUGGUUGUAUAUACAGGUCAGUUCCUUAUUCAAUGUCCUGGAGGGGUGGAGGUGGGUUUAUACAUAAAAAGUGAUUGGUGGGGGGCCUCCCGGGUGGCACAGUGGUUAAGGGCGUAAAAUAAAAUACAUUUUAAAAAGUGAUUGGACGUAGGAUGCACAUAAACAUGGCUGAAAGGUGACUGGUUGGUAGCAGGAAUAUAUACAUAUUUAUGAUAAUAUAUUAACGGGAACAUAGUGAUAUUUAUUAUAAUCUGCAACAUUUCAACUUCUAAAAUACAUAGAGUCCUUGUAAUUUACAGCAUCGCUCAGUCAACAAAACAUUUGCUAAAGUUGCCCAAUUAGCGGGAGGGCUGGGGGAAAGAUCUGUGUCGCACACAGUGCUCAAGUCUAUGACGUCUGUCAGUCAAAACCCCGGCACAGGGUAUGUUACUGUAUAGCAUGUUACUGUAUAGCAUGUUACUGUAUAGCAUGUUACUGUAUAGCAUGUUACUGUAUAGCAAAGUUGGGUCGAAGCUCUGAAGACGACAGCAUUACGGUACGGCGCCAUCUUAUGGAAAACAUGGACACUGUUACAGGAGAAUAGAUUGGAUCGCAGCGGCUUUCCGCCGUGGGAAAACCAGAUGAUCUGAGAUGCAAAAUCCCAUCUAAAGUCAAGAAUCCAGUGGCUUGAUUUAUUAAAACUAAAAGUUUUUAUUUGUAAAAUUCAAAAUAAUACAUUCAGAUAAUAACAAAGGUUCCAAUAUUCAAAACAUGUGUGCCUUCACAGUAUCUCAAGCAUUUGCCCUAACCAGCAAGCCUUACUUCCUGUCUCUAAAUUCCCAAUUUACAUAUCUGGGCGGGCCCGCCAGUAUUUCUAACUGUUUCUGGCUAGAGGGCGUAAUUGACCGUUUCGCAUUUAAAUCAAAAGACCACAUAACCAAAUUAAUGUAUACACCUUAUAUAGAAUCGAAAUGAUUCUAAAUGGUGCAAUAUGACCUAAUAAACAGAUAUUUGCAUAACCAAAGAAAGAUAGAAACUGGCUCCAACAGGGGAAGAAAGAGAAGAUGGGAAUGUGCCCUGUUUCUUUGUUUGUUGUAAUUUACAACUUCAUAUAAAGCUUGGAAAUGAAAGCUUGAGAGUUAAACUGAACUGCUUCAGCAAAGACUCAUGGGAAAGGAGAAAGGAGGAGUGUGUUGGUCUGGAAAUAACAGCUGAUUAGAAAGGUUGAGAAUGAGAUUCAAAUGCAGGUUGUGUCAGUGGCCCUGCGCUACCAAAGGUUUUAAACUGGAUAUGAUCUACUAUGAAACUGAACUGCUAUAGCAAAGGAAUCCAAGCUGGACAAUUACCUAACAGCUAGUCUCUCGUGUCAUGACAGACUUCUAGGUUCCGAGACGACAGCCUUCUAGGUUCCGAGGUGACAGACUUCUAGGUUCCGAGACGACAGACUUCUAGGUUCCGAGAUGACAGACUUCUAGGUUCCGAGAUGACAGACUUCUAGGUUCCGAGACGACAGACUUCUAGGUUCCGAGGUGACAGACUUCUAGGUUCCGAGGUGACAGACUUCUAGGUUCCGAGACGACAGACUUCUAGGUUCCGAGGUGACAGACUUCUAGGUUCCGAGACGACAGCCUUCCAAGAUUAGCCUUCAGAGUCUUAAAACGACAUUGUAUUUAUAAUACUGAGUCAUCAUGUUUGUUGCUUUGCAUUGCAUUCAAAUUGAAGGCUUGAAUUCUUGAUUUGCCUCUAGAAUAAACGUGGGAGUUUUAUACCAUGCCAUGGUUUUACAGCUGCUGUCUUGCCAUUGUAAUAAUAUAGCUCGUAAAUAAUUACAAUAUCAUCAUUCAAAAAUAAUCUCUUUUUAUAUGUGGUUAUUUACAGUAAUUUAUUAGCUUCAAUAGAAACAUGGGCUUCCCACAUUAUGUUAAAGAAGAACAUAAUGCCCUGCAUCUAAAUAUACUUGUAUGUUAUAUGGGUAUCUGACAUUCAUUCAAUGGAAAAUGAAGAAAUAAUAAGAUAUUGUCAAGGAAAUGUAUAGUCUUUCAUUUGUCCUGUCUAGAUAGGAAUAUCACAAGCAAAUCAGGUAUGUCUAUGGUGCAGUGUAUGUUACGCAUGAACGUGUAUACUUUGUUAGACAAUUCUGUGCAUUAUCUGUACUGCCUACUAAUGCUAUACUGUACAUCCUGAAAAGAUAAGCUACUGAGGAUUAGCUCCUGCAUUCACCACCCAUGAGUGGUCUAGCUAUAAUGUUUGUUCCCG